RNAcentral lists this ribosomal RNA (174 nucleotides) under Lichtheimia sp. HMUT131009. RNAcentral's name for it is "partial 18S ribosomal RNA". The record is from RNAcentral. Lineage: Eukaryota; Fungi; Mucoromycota; Mucoromycetes; Mucorales; Lichtheimiaceae.
GAUCAUUACUGAGAGGUUUACCUGACCAGGUCUAGGACGCAAGUCCUUUUUCUGGUUUACCUCACGGUUAUGUGCAAUGUUGGGUCACCUUGGUUGACUCUGCCUUGCGCAUAGUGCCUUACUUGGUGUACUCACCUAGGAGUAGUCCUAGUACUUUUUGUACUGGGAACGAAA